UUCGCGAUUCAGUCCGAAUGAUUCAGCUCACUAACUAGUUUCAGUAAAACACGCAAGAUCAUGGAUAUUUACAUACAAUGCAUCGAAAUCAAACCUUAAAAUCCAUUCUAUAGUUUCCCAGCGAUGAAGAUGGACUUGUGAAAGACUCUGUACUACAGCUCCUGAAACGCGGAGGAUCGGCCGCUUUCCCGAAGCAGAUGAGGAUGUUGAAAGAGACGGACUGCCUUCAUGUGCUGGCGCUGGAUCUCGCUGGGCGGAUGAGCUGAGGUGACGUAUGAAGACACCAGACUGACCUCUCGGACGCCGCGGGGAGAAGAUACGGAUUGGAGCGCAGGAUAAAUGCCGGCAGAGAGAGAAGUGUUGACACAUCCACUCGUUAAACAACACAAUAAAGACUCGCGCCUCGAGCGCCGUCCCUGCCUGUUUGUUCGCUCGUGUCCGAGAUUUAAUUGAUGUUCCCUGGAACCGCUUUCAUUCCGACGGCUCUUGCUCAAAGGUCACCAGAAGUUCAGUCUAAACUUCUGAAGUGUUGGAGCUGGAAUAUGGAUGCUGAAAAGAUGGAAUAUCUUCUGAAUUGGUCCAGAUGGACCUGCAUCAACAAACUCCAGCCAUCUUCUGAAAGUCUGAGAAUGACAAACCUGGUGUUGAUCGGCUCGGGCCUGAAACCGCUGAGAGCUAUCAGUGCUAAUCUAUCUGACGGCCACUUUCUGAAGAGAGCUUCGGAGAGCUAUUAUCCUUGAUGUGUCAAGAUAUUGCUUGGUAAAAGAGAUGGCAAUAUAUAUAUAUAUAGCAGCCACUGUAGCAAUCUUAGGGCUGAAGAUUGAUGUUGCAGUGAUCAGAAGAGAAGUUAUUUGGCCAGAGAAUGGCCAUUUUAUGAAUUUUGUUUGGAAUGACUCAAUAGCGGUGGUGAUUUCUGAUACAAAUAAAAGGCGAAAGAUGUUUUGAUUUGGUGGAGCGUCUGUGGAGAAGAAUCAGGUACUGCUGAGAAUCAACUCAUUUUCUCUAAAGGUGCUUUUUGAUGCAUGUGUGUGUGUGUGUCUGUCUAUGCGUUUCUUUCUU
This is a long non-coding RNA of Megalobrama amblycephala (Wuchang bream), 1059 nucleotides long. RefSeq lists it as uncharacterized. The record is from RefSeq and is a predicted model, not a curated record. The transcript is spliced from 3 exons. NCBI's taxonomy places the organism in Eukaryota, Metazoa, Chordata, Actinopteri, Cypriniformes, Xenocyprididae.